UACGGAGGGUGCAAGCGUUAUCCGGAUUCACUGGGUUUAAAGGGUGCGUAGGCGGAUAUCUAAGUCAGUGGUGAAAUCCUUGAGCUUAACUCGAGAACUGCCAUUGAUACUAUUUAUCUUGAAUAUUGUGGAGGUGAGCGGAAUAUGUCAUGUAGCGGUGAAAUGCUUAGAUAUGACAUAGAACACCAAUUGCGAAGGCAGCUCGCUACACAUAUAUUGACGCUGAGGCACGAAAGCGUGGGGAUCAAACAGG
Molecule: ribosomal RNA, 253 nt
Filed under: uncultured bacterium
Lineage: Bacteria
Description: partial 16S ribosomal RNA
Rfam family: Bacterial small subunit ribosomal RNA
Source: RNAcentral